AGCUUGUUGGUGAGGUAAUGGCUCACCAAGGCGACGACGGGUAGCCGGCCUGAGAGGGCGACCGGCCACACUGGGACUGAGACACGGCCCAGACUCCUACGGGAGGCAGCAGUGGGGAAUAUUGCACAAUGGGCGAAAGCCUGAUGCAGCGACGCCGCGUGAGGGAUGACGGCCUUCGGGUUGUAAACCUCUUUCAGCAGGGAAGAAGCGAAAGUGACGGUACCUGCAGAAGAAGCGCCGGCUAACUACGUGCCAGCAGCCGCGGUAAUACGUAGGGCGCAAGCGUUGUCCGGAAUUAUUGGGCGUAAAGAGCUCGUAGGCGGCUUGUCACGUCGGGUGUGAAAGCCCGGGGCUUAACCCCGGGUCUGCAUUCGAUACGGGCUAGCUAGAGU
RNAcentral lists this ribosomal RNA (392 nucleotides) under Streptomyces chartreusis. RNAcentral describes it as "bacterial SSU rRNA". It matches the Rfam family "Bacterial small subunit ribosomal RNA", at positions 243 to 647 of the family's 1533-position model. The record is from RNAcentral. Lineage: Bacteria; Bacillati; Actinomycetota; Actinomycetes; Kitasatosporales; Streptomycetaceae.